GCAGUGGUGGUUCAGUGGUAGAUUUUUGCCUUCCGUUGCAGGAGACUUGGGUUUGAUUCCCAGCCAAUGCA
RNAcentral lists this transfer RNA (71 nucleotides) under Loxodonta africana (African savanna elephant). It matches the Rfam family "tRNA". Rfam says of the family: Transfer RNA (tRNA) molecules are approximately 80 nucleotides in length. Their secondary structure includes four short double-helical elements and three loops (D, anti-codon, and T loops). The record is from Rfam by way of RNAcentral. Lineage: Eukaryota; Metazoa; Chordata; Mammalia; Proboscidea; Elephantidae.